GCCGAGGUGGCGGAAUCGGUAGACGCAGCGGAUUCAAAAUCCGCCGCCGAAAGGCGCGAGGGUUCGAGUCCCUCUCUCGGCACCA
RNAcentral lists this transfer RNA (85 nucleotides) under Azonexus sp. RNAcentral's name for it is "tRNA-Leu". It matches the Rfam family "tRNA". From Rfam's summary of the family: Transfer RNA (tRNA) molecules are approximately 80 nucleotides in length. Their secondary structure includes four short double-helical elements and three loops (D, anti-codon, and T loops). Lineage: Bacteria; Pseudomonadati; Pseudomonadota; Betaproteobacteria; Rhodocyclales; Azonexaceae. The record is from RNAcentral.